Molecule: ribosomal RNA, 468 nt
Filed under: uncultured bacterium
Lineage: Bacteria
Description: partial 16S ribosomal RNA
Rfam family: Bacterial small subunit ribosomal RNA
Source: RNAcentral
GACGAACGCUGGCGGCGUGCUUAACACAUGCAAGUCGAACGGAAAGGCCCUGCUUUUGUGGGGUGCUCGAGUGGCGAACGGGUGAGUAACACGUGAGUAACCUGCCCUUGACUUUGGGAUAACUUCAGGAAACUGGGGCUAAUACCGGAUAGGAGCUCCUGCUGCAUGGUGGAGGUUGGAAAGUUUCGGCGGUUGGGGAUGGACUCGCGGCUUAUCAGCUUGUUGGUGGGGUAGUGGCUUACCAAGGCUUUGACGGGUAGCCGGCCUGAGAGGGUGACCGGCCACAUUGGGACUGAGAUACGGCCCAGACUCCUACGGGAGGCAGCAGUGGGGAAUAUUGCACAGUGGGCGGAAGCCUGAUGCAGCAACGCCGCGUGCGGGAUGACGGCCUUCGGGUUGUAAACCGCUUUCGCCUGUGACGAAGCGUGAGUGACGGUAAUGGGUAAAGAAGCACCGGCUAACUACGUG